AAAAAAAGGCACGCGGACGGGAGGGUAUAGAGGGGAGGGGCCUAGGUGGGUAGGGCAAGCGGUCGAGGCGGGAGCGAAGAAGGGCCACGCGGUGGCAGUCCCAUAUGGAGUGUACAAGAUCCAGCAACCACUCUCAAACACGAAGUCUACCGACCCCGCGACGUAUCAAGAGCAACAGGCCGAGACAAUAACAACCGACACGACAACGACUGAAACAGAGGUCCGUUACGUAAGAUGAACGGACCGUCGAUGUACGUGUGUAUGAGGGUUCCACUCCUAUAUACCCGUUUCCAAUUAAGUGAGUGCAGGUAACUCUGACUCUACGGCAAGUCGAUGAUGUCAGACGGUAUGACGGCAGGUGGACCGCCGUAGUUCUUCUCGCGGCUCUUGGACCCACUCGAAGAGUACCCACUGGUCUAGCUGUUGAGUGGGAUGGCCAAGGCACACUUACAGUUGCUCAGGGAGAAGGAGACGUGGUGCUUUCCCGAAUUACUCUUACUACGUUUCGAAGAGUUCGUCGCCCGGGCACUAGAAAUAGUCCACUUGUACUACGACCUGUUAGACGGACAGUACGCAAAACGACUCGUCUUACCAUAGUGUCAUGUCACCUGACCAAAAGGACAACCAAUGUGAGGGCGACCAUCACGACUACUAAUAUAGUAGUUGGUAAAUUUCAAAUUCCAGAACCAGGUACUCAUGCUUCCUUGUUUACAUCUUUAUUAGCCAUUACCUCUUCUUCCUAGACGACAGUAUAGUCUCUGCCUGUUCUUCCCCUACAGACCCAUAGUCUAACAACCAAAACUCCAGCACGGAACGUCACACUUCGCACUGGGGCUCCUAAAGAGAUUCGAAUUGUACGUACUGUGGUAACUUGGACACUCGACGGGCCACCUCGAAGCUUACAGGGUUCACUAGUCCGUUGUCCUCUCCUAGUGCAAAUGGAUACUACAACUCAAACACUUCUCACUGUAGUCCACCGGUAGAUCCACCCUACGAAUAGACUUCUACCUCCGACCACGGUUCCAGGUGACCAAGAGAUAUUACUUGAGGGAGUACCAGUAGAACAAGAACCGUCCUUAGCAGAAAUAAUAUAAGGACUCUUGACAGUCCUCCCUAGAGUGGUGUAUACUUCUCGAGCUGUUCCUUCGCGUUCGUGUCUACUUACUCCUCGAUAGACCCACCUUCGAACAACAACCUCUACACAAGUCUCUCGGUUGAACGGGGUUCGAUAAUACGUAGUACUAACCACUACCUCAAGUUUAAGACCCGUACAGUUAACAUUGUUAACAAAAAAGGUGUGAACCCAAGUACAGAGGUCGAAGUUCUCCUUACGAAGAAUGACCUUACUAAUAAGAGAUAGAAAAGGAACCAUAACAUCGACCCAUACAGUCACAAGCCGAUACCUCCUGAUAAUUCCCUUGCAGACUUCCUACCUCUAGUGACAGUACCAACUGACGGACGAAAAAGGGACCACAGUACAAAUGCCAGGAAUGGUAGAAUUUGAAACACGACACCCCUUCGUUUUCGUGACCUCGAAAUGGAUAUAGUAAUAAAAAGUGGGAAGACCGAGACACCAAGACAUAGAGACACGGCAAUUGCGAACAACCACCGAAGGAACCAUGUUCUCGUCUCGUUUAACUUAAGGGACAAGCGUGGUUGGUCUAAGGAUCUCUCUAGGGACGUGCCUUUAUAGGUAGUACCGAAGACCAGGAACCUCGUCCGUGUGACGGUAAACCUUGGGACAAAUAACUCGACAAGAAGUAAGACAGCUCGUAGACCGAACCUUCCAAGAUGAUACACAAACCGAAGGACGACUAACAGGACGACUACGAACAGCAACAAACGCGACUCCAUAGACAGCAGGAGUGUAUGUACUUAGAGACACAACUCCUGACCUCCACCACCACCUUCCGGAAGAAACGUAGCCCGAGACAACGAGAGAUGCACAAGGAGAUGAGGUAGUUGAUGAACCAGAAACUAGAGUCUUCGGACUCGCCAGGACAGAGACGUUACGAGAUGUAGCCGAUGAGUAAGGAGUACCGCAAGCGCUAGUACGAGCGGUGACCUUGGUAACCGAAGAACUGCAGUUAUAGGAAACACGUGAUGGAGAAGCGCAGGCACUUCUAGCUAACUACCUACCAACGGUAUAGUUACCGGAAGACAUAGACAUAACGAUUUUCAUGCACGCACUCAAAGCGGGUACUCUUCGCGUCAAAUUACUCCACUAAAACUAGUUGACGUCUACAAAAAUCAUCUACAACUACGUCAAAAAGGGAUCAUUUACAUCAAGGCGACAAGUUGACGUCUACAAAGGAAUCAUCUAAAAGCAGUCGACGAUGUGAAUAAGUCUAUCUAUGACGUUCAGACGUUGGGUAUAGAUGUUUCACAAUUCCCCAUUACUGAUACUAUAAGAUUAGACGCUCACCGUUACGUACCAUCGGUGGAUAAAACAUUUUCUAGAAUUACACACUUGUAAUAAACGAUGCACAAAGAACCGGAUUAAAGUUUUGAUAGCCCUUUUGCGAAAGACAAAGAAAAUGUCACAACAAAAAGGAAGGUUGGUUUUCGGUAUACAGAAAACGGUAUAAGG
RNAcentral lists this ribosomal RNA (2590 nucleotides) under Triticum aestivum (bread wheat). Its description in RNAcentral is "partial small subunit ribosomal RNA". Lineage: Eukaryota; Viridiplantae; Streptophyta; Magnoliopsida; Poales; Poaceae. The record is from RNAcentral.